UGAUAUAAUCCCUUCUGUAAUAUCCCACAAGAAUAUUGAGUACUGAUGAGUUGGGCGAGGACCAAAGUUUAGAGGCGAUCUAAUAGGAAAGAGAAAUUUCCACGAAAGAGACACAGAAAUUUUCGAGAAGGAAAAGAGGAAAGGGUAGGUUUUCUCUCGAGUUUUGUUUUAAGUUGAAAUUUGGCGAACUGAAAUCGAAGAAUCGAACGCCAGACCGGACUAACAGUUAUAUUCAGAGAGUUUGCUGCGAAAAGCACGUUAAUUCAAAUUCAGAAAAUAUAUUUUAAAAUAGUAAUUUGAUAGAAAGUAUGUGAUUGAAAAAUAAUGAAAAGUUUUUGAUUUACGUAUAAUGUUAUUUUAAUAAAGAAUGUGUGAUUGAAAAGAAUAGAGAGAAAAAUACAUUUUGAAAAAAAAGGGUACCAAACGGGGGCUUAUUUUUGUUGAGCCAUCUAGUCUUUAUUUUUCCUCGCACUCUCUAUUUUAUUUAAAAUAUAUUUUUUAUCUCUUUUUUUAUCAAUUAUACAUUUUUCAGUAAACUAAUAUUACACUUAAAUUCAAAAAAUUCCUUCUUUUAAAGCUACACAUUUUUUUAAAAAAAUUUACUAUUUCAAUAUAAUUUCUCCAAAAAUACAAUAUAAUGGAGCCCAGAAUCUUUUUUAAUAAAUUGGAUACCCAUUUAACGACAUCCACUUUAGAUUUUCCACGAAAGAGACAGAAAUUUUCGAGAAGGAAAAGAGGAAAGGGUAGGUUUUCUCUCGAGUUUUGUUUUAAGUUGAAAUUUGGCGAACUGAAAUCGAAGAAUCGAACGCCAGACCGGACUAACAGUUAUAUUCAAAGAGUUUGCUGCGAAAAGCACGUUAAUUCAAAUUCAGAAAAUAUAUUUUAAAAUAGUAAUUUG
RNAcentral lists this long non-coding RNA (898 nucleotides) under Olea europaea (common olive). Its description in RNAcentral is "long non-coding RNA (OEUR_LNC007547)". The record is from RNAcentral. Lineage: Eukaryota; Viridiplantae; Streptophyta; Magnoliopsida; Lamiales; Oleaceae.